AUUGAACGCUGGCGGCAGGCCUAACACAUGCAAGUCGAGCGGAUGAAGGGAGCUUGCUCCUGGAUUCAGCGGCGGACGGGUGAGUAAUGCCUAGGAAUCUGCCUGGUAGUGGGGGAUAACGUCCGGAAACGGGCGCUAAUACCGCAUACGUCCUGAGGGAGAAAGUGGGGGAUCUUCGGACCUCACGCUAUCAGAUGAGCCUAGGUCGGAUUAGCUAGUUGGUGGGGUAAAGGCCUACCAAGGCGACGAUCCGUAACUGGUCUGAGAGGAUGAUCAGUCACACUGGAACUGAGACAGGGUCCAGACUCCUACGGGAGGCAGCAGUGGGGAAUAUUGGACAAUGGGCGGAAGCCUGAUCCAGCCAUGCCGCGUGUGUGAAGAAGGUCUUCGGAUUGUAAAGCACUUUAAGUGGGGAGGAAGGGCAGUAAGUUAAUACCUUGCUGUUUUGACGGUACCAACAGAAUAAGCACCGGCUAACUUCGUG
Molecule: ribosomal RNA, 484 nt
Filed under: uncultured bacterium
Lineage: Bacteria
Description: partial 16S ribosomal RNA
Rfam family: Bacterial small subunit ribosomal RNA
Source: RNAcentral